This 1059-nucleotide long non-coding RNA is filed under the name Homo sapiens (human). RNAcentral describes it as "long independently transcribed non-coding RNA 2464 (LINC02464)". Lineage: Eukaryota; Metazoa; Chordata; Mammalia; Primates; Hominidae. The record is from RNAcentral.
ACAUCAUACAUUCCAAGUAAUGCAGCACACUACUCUGGACCACGGUGACCUUUUAAAUAUUCUGCAAAUUGAUUUCCAGGCCAUUCCCACUCUCCCUUGUUUAUAGCCUUGGUAACCCAGAAGAAAAUGAGACUGGCCAGCUGUGAUUCCUGCAUUUCUGUUCUCAUCAGUGCUCAGAAUUACAUUUCUUUCUCUCCCAAAGGCUUCAUGACAACGCUUACUGUUGAUCUAGAGAGCAGCAGCACCAAGAAUCUUCAAUAAGGACAAGUUUAAGAGCUAUAAGCAGUUGUGUGGACUCCUUAGAGCCUUCUGCCUGAGAUGAUGCUGCCAGAGGGCCCUUGCCAGAUAUUGCCACCUUGAUAUUAGACUUCCCAUCCUCCAAAACUGUGUUAUCAAAAGGUCUCAUCAAAUUAUUUUAUGUAGAAGAGCACCCAAAUGUUAUUUCUUGCUGUUCCUCUUCUUUUCCUCAAGAGAAAGAAGGUUGAAAACUGAAAAUGAUGAAGUUGAAGAAUGAAGUCAAUGAGUGUUAAGAAGAGAUUCAUUUAUCCUUGAAAAAUGAAAAAGUAGAGUGCUGGUGGUGAUCAUGUCUUCCCUUCACCCAUGGGGACUUUUCAUUUAUCGCUGCCACUCCAGCAUGUUCACUAUUCUCUGUAGCAUGAAAAUCUGAUAAAGCUCAUGAGGGGAGAGAAAACUUAACUUCAAUAUUUUCCUGCUGAGCCUGAGAGUGCUUUGUAUACCCUAGCAAGAUGAAAAUCUUAGCUGCAGCAUCAGGAAGAGGACACCUCACUUUAUCCUACAUUCCUAUCUCAGUCAGGAAAGUAGCUCUAGAGAAGGAACUAAGAAGUCAAGGCCUUUUGUGAAGUUGCUCUGUUAUCUCUGUGGCCCCAAAGACCAAAAUGAUGGAGAAAAUGAAACCAGGAUGAUUUCUGACAUCUGCUUCCACUCCACCUUCUUUAACCACUUCAUCCACAUCUCUCUUAGCUUCUCACAUAAGUCUCACCUGGAAUCAUCUUAUUUACACCAAUAAAUUUACCUACCACCUGCCUGUUGAUUGCCAAA